This is a long non-coding RNA of Hypanus sabinus (Atlantic stingray), 1520 nucleotides long. RefSeq lists it as uncharacterized. The record is from RefSeq and is a predicted model, not a curated record. Lineage: Eukaryota; Metazoa; Chordata; Chondrichthyes; Myliobatiformes; Dasyatidae. The transcript has 3 exons.
CAACUGUGAAGUUUACAGCUUUAACUUUCCUUUAUUUGCUGGAUGAUGUUUGACAGCCAUGUAUUUUCCAAACUUUUAUACACCUUCAUCUGUGUUAUCACUAAAUGUUGCUGCUAAUCCAUUACCGAUCCCUCCAAAUCUUUGCUGCAACUUAAAAAUAACCUGUUUUCUCCCUUUCCCAGUUUUUCAAUAAAACAAAAAAAGGAAAAGGGCCUGAAGCAAAAGUUUCGGCACCCUGCAUGAUUUACAAAAUACUGACUGCUGUGCAUUAGGAGUGCUUUGCACUAGAAGGAUUCUCCAUAGGAUAACAUUGUAAAUUGGGUGCCACCUCAGCUGCAAGAGAACUGGAUGCAGGCCCAAGAUACCCAAGAAAUGCCUUUAGAAGACUUGAAUCCUGAAUAACAGCAUCCUAAAAUGGUUGCUAGUUUUACACCAGUUUGGUAAAUAGAUUGACUGGACAGCUAAUCUGUUCUACCAACUGUACUAAGCCUAAUUACAUAGUAAUUUAUAAGGCAUGUGUCAGCCUGUAUCUGGCUGUUCCCUGACAAUACACUGGCAUGAACUUUGUUACUACCUUUAUUAAUCGAAGUAUUCUCCUACAGAAAAAAGUCUGUAGGGUUCUUGUGCCUGUGUGGAAGGGACAGUAUCUUAUCUCUUCCAGCUGAUGCAUACCCCAGUUGGUUUUGCAGGCUUCUAGCUUGUUUGUAUACACUACAGAGGUCAUAUGGAGAGCUUGAUGGCAGAUGAAUUGUAUUCUCAUUGUUUAUAAAUACAACGUAGACUUUGUUCUCUGGGUGGCGUACAAUGAUGGUGUCUAGCCCAAGAACUUGAUGUGCCUGUUCACAGCCCACUGCAAUGGUUGCAGCCACAGAAAUGGAUGUAGUAGAUCUAAAUGAAGACGGCAUCUUUUAUGAAUGAAGCACACUAAUUCCUUAAUUUCGUUGGACGACAGAUGCUUUGGAAAUUUAGGAAAAUGCUGAAGUGGUGGAAAAAACGAAUGUGUUCAGUUCAUAUGCGCCUAAGGAAUGUGAUUACAGAACAUUUUUAUGAACUUCACAAUUAACAUGCAGACUUUUAAACCAAUGAAGAGCAAUGUUAUGAACAUUAUAAGCUAGUUAUAGUGUAAAGUUGGUUUAAAAAUGUACCGAAAAAGCUACAUUUAAUCUAUUUUAAACUGCUGAGGUUUUGGGAUGCCUGGUUCAAUGUAGCCUAACAUUUUUUUUUUGUCAUGACUUUGUGAAAGUGUGUUGGUGCCUCUGAGAUUUCAUAAUGUGUUUGCUCUUUGCCAAUUAGUUAAGGCUUUUUCUAGAAUAUUAUUUCACCUGCAAAGAUCUAGAAUAUUGGCAGAUAACUAUUAGAAAAAUAUGGAGUAGAAAUUUGCUGGUAAAAAGAACUCCGGCUUCUAUGGUGUGCUAGAUAUUUAUACCAUACACAUUUUUUUUACAUAUGCUAAACAUAAAAGGUCUGAAAUAAGCUUUCCAAGCAGUGUGCCACACAGUAAAAUAAAAAUUGGAACAAGA